GUGCUCACUUCAGCAGCACACAUGCUAAAAUUGGAACAAUACAGAGAAGAUUAGCAAGGCCUCUGUGCCACAUUAUUUUAUUUAUUUAUUUAUUUAUUUUUU
Small nuclear RNA from Urocitellus parryii (Arctic ground squirrel), 102 nucleotides. The record is from RefSeq and is a predicted model, not a curated record. Lineage: Eukaryota; Metazoa; Chordata; Mammalia; Rodentia; Sciuridae.